RNAcentral lists this long non-coding RNA (1760 nucleotides) under Triticum aestivum (bread wheat). RNAcentral's name for it is "long non-coding RNA (TAES_LNC022915)". The record is from RNAcentral. Lineage: Eukaryota; Viridiplantae; Streptophyta; Magnoliopsida; Poales; Poaceae.
CUCUCUCGAUCCCCCUUCGUCCUCUUCCUUCGUCACUCGAAAUCGAGCUCAGAAAACUCAUGGUCACCACUGUCCCGUCGUUAUUGUCACGACCACUAGCAUUUAGGGCGUGCGGGAGCACGUCCAGGAGGUCCGCCGCGGCCAUCUUCGUCCGUACCGGGAACCAGAUCAAGCCGAGACUGUCCAUGUGCUCGCCAUCGAGCCCUUCUCUUCCGCGGACGUCACCACCUCGUCGGCGUUGCCACUGCUCCGGGCCACCUCCGACCUUCUAAGCUCGUCCACGAGAACCGGGGUGAGCUUCCCCCUCGGAUCCUACUUUUCCCCCUUCAAUUUGGACGCGUAGGCCACCAUCACCGUCGUGCCCCGCGUACGCGUACAUGCGUGUAGAUGCUGCUCUGCUUCGUUGCACUGCUGCUCGCACUUGAUGCUGCUCUUCACACUGCUGCCGCUUGUGCUGCAUCACUUCCUGCUGCCGCCGACGCCCGCUCACCCUCGUCCCGUCGCUCGCUUCCGCCGCCACGCCCGCGGCCACGGCGCCCGACCACGCCGCUCGCGACCCACGACCGGCCUCCAUGUACAGACGCCCUGGCGCCCGCCUCCACCACUGCUCCAGCCACGCCCCUACGCCUUGUCUCGCCCCAGGCCGGCCCUGCGCGCGCAUGCUGCCGCUAGCCGUUGCCGCCGGCUGCUGCUACAGCUGACCAUGGCCGAGCGGCCGUGCGUGUUGUGCGUGCGUGCAGUGUGUGUGUGCGCUGAGUGUGUGGCCGCGCCCACCUCCGGCCUUGCCCGCCUUUGGCUGGCCUCGCCGCGCCGCCACUGCCGCUCCCUGCUACUGCUCUGCCCGCUGCACUCAGCUACUGCUCCUCUGCUACAGUACCGUUCAGUUACUGUAGCAGUAGCCAGCUUUGCAGCUAUUACACUCACUAGCCCUCUUGACAACCCCUAAACUACAACUAAACAAAAGUUAAUAUGCGUAAAAUUCAUAUGGGCGUGUAGUACACUUAACAGGGUUCGAUUCUUUCCAUUGGACCAAAUCCAAAAGUCGCCUAGAUUAAUUCCUAUGAAAAUGACAAAAGUCUAUGUUCAGUUAACAGAAAAGACUGAAAACAGAGUUAUUGUGGUAGCUACCUUAGAGCAGAAAAUAAACAGGAUACAUAGAUCUAACAGAGAUGCAAUUGAUGCCAUCUUGUAGAUCAUAGAAAAUUGAUCAAGAUUGGUAUUAGGCACUAAUUCAUAGAAUGUGCAGAACACUAGUUAUAGCCUCUGGAAAACAUCUAAGUGAAGUUUAAAGACUGAACCAUUCUCAGAGUUGGCCAAUUUUCAGGAAUUCCAAAUAACUAUUUAAAUCUCCGGAAAUUUGCAGAAAAUAAACCGUAGCUCGGAUCGAAAAACUUUCUACAUGAAAGUUGAUCAGAAAAACGAGAUGAAUCCGACCGUGCCGUCUGUUUCCUUGUCGGGACCCUCUACGGAGGUGAGACCGCAACUUGUUGCCCGUUUCUGGUAGAUGAAUAGUGCAUAUGUUAGCAUAGCAUGCUCCGUGUUGCAUAUAUUUGUUGUGUAUAUAUUUGUUUCCUCCCCCUCUUCUCUCUCGAUAGAUCCCGGUAUCGAUGCAGUCCCCGAGACCGACGCAGCUCCGGAGACCGACUACACCGUUGACGACCCUGCUUUUGGCGCAGAGCUUCCACGCAAGCAAACCCCCCUUGUUCAUUCCGAUAUCGCCCAUUUCGUUCCCUCUCUUACUUGCAUUAGAACUGCUACUG